UGAAAAAAAAAAAAAAAUCUUUAUUUUUUUAUUUUAUGCAUUUCCAGAUUUAAUACAGCCUUGGACAAAUGAAGCUUUGAAACAGCCAAGGAGGAUUUGAAUUCAUUAAUUUGCGAAAAUUUAUUAGCUCCCGAAGAAGCGGUCACCCGCGAAACAUGUCGAGCUUGAUUGUGAUCUACCACUACAUAUGCUAGUCAUCAUAUACCUUUGAUGCCUUUUCUGGAUCAUUAUUGGUUAAUUCUGACCCUUGUUGUUUAAUACAGUUCUCUGUGUUAAUUUGUCUAUGUUUUUAAUGUGCUUUUUAUAUAUGCAUUUACUGUAAUGUUGGUCCAAUAACCCCUUUUGGGAAAUUGCAUCAAUAAACAUAUUUUAAUGUCA
Molecule: long non-coding RNA, 378 nt
Organism: Rana temporaria (common frog)
Lineage: Eukaryota; Metazoa; Chordata; Amphibia; Anura; Ranidae
Exons: 2
Source: RefSeq, a predicted model, not a curated record